This 362-nucleotide long non-coding RNA is filed under the name Hordeum vulgare. RNAcentral describes it as "long non-coding RNA (HVUL_LNC002434)". The record is from RNAcentral. Lineage: Eukaryota; Viridiplantae; Streptophyta; Magnoliopsida; Poales; Poaceae.
UAAGAUCAGAUUGACCCGGCGUUAAUCCUGUCCAUCACACAAGUAAACACUAGAGCAGUAACGACAUGAAUCACCAAGCAUGCAUCGAUCUAGCUAGUAUAAUAUUAUCCAUUGACAACGAUUGCAUCAAGUGACGGAGAUCUUACAUGACUGUAUACUUAUAUGGCAACUAAGUAGCACUAGGAGCUACAUAUGAGAGACGCCCUAUAUGUAAACCCCUAAACCCCUAAAAGCUAGCUGAUAUCUUUCUUGAUGCUACCUAAAUAAAACCAACUAAAACGAAACUACAUAAUCCUGACGAAACCAUCAGCGAUGGGUGCAUCCUCUUGCUCCUAUGGUGAUGGUGAUGGGGCGGGGGAAGN